Molecule: ribosomal RNA, 1074 nt
Filed under: Conticribra weissflogii
Lineage: Eukaryota; Bacillariophyta; Thalassiosirophyceae; Thalassiosirales; Thalassiosiraceae
Description: partial Bacterial large subunit ribosomal RNA
Rfam family: Bacterial large subunit ribosomal RNA
Source: RNAcentral
GACACGUGAAAUCCUGUCUGAACAUGGGGGGACCAUCCUCCAAGCCUAAGUACUCCUUAUCGACCGAUAGUGAACAAGUACCGUGAGGGAAAGGUGAAAAGCACCCCGACGAGGGGAGUGAAACAGUUCCUGAAACUGGAUGCCUACAAACAGUUGGAGCCCAAGGUUCGUCCUGGGUGACAGCGUACCUUUUGUAUAAUGGGUCAGCGACUUAUGUUCAGUGGCGAGGUUAACCGUUUAGGGGAGCCGUAGGGAAACCGAGUCUGAAUAGGGCGAUUUAGUCGCUGGGCAUAGACCCGAAACCGGGCGAUCUAUCCAUGAGCAGGUUGAAGGUUGAGUAACAUCAACUGGAGGACCGAACCCACUGUCUUUGAAAAGCCAGGGGAUGACUUGUGGAUCGGAGUGAAAGGCUAAUCAAGCCCGGAGAUAGCUGGUUCUCCCCGAAAGCUAUUUAGGUAGCGCCUCGGACGAAUACCACAGGGGGUAGAGCACUGUUUCGGCUAGGGGGUCAUCCCGACUUACCAACCCGAUGCAAACUCCGAAUACCUGUGAGUACUAUCCGGGAGACACACGGUGGGUGCUAACGUCCAUCGUGAAGAGGGAAACAACCCAGACCGCCAGCUAAGGUCCCCAAGUACCAGUUAAGUGGGAAACGAUGUGGGAAGGCUCAGACAGCUAGGAGGUUGGCUUAGAAGCAGCCACCCUUUAAAGAAAGCGUAAUAGCUCACUAGUCGAGUCGGCCUGCGCGGAAGAUGUAACGGGGCUAAAUUGGUAACCGAAGCUGCGGAUGCAUGCUUGCAUGCAUGGUAGAGGAGCGUUCUGUAAGCCGUUGAAGGUGAACCGGGAGGUUUGCUGGAGGUAUCAGAAGUGCGAAUGCUGACAUGAGUAACGAUAAGGGGGGUGAAAAACCUCCCCGCCGGAAGAUCAAGGUUUCCUGUCCAACGCUAAUCGGGACAGGGUGAGUCGGCCCCUAAGGCGAGGCAGAGAUGCGUAGUCGAUGGGAAGCAGGUUAAUAUUCCUGCACUUCUUUAUAUUGCGAUGGGGGGACGGAGAAGGCUAGGCCAGCGCGGCGAU